Small nucleolar RNA from Chanos chanos (milkfish), 74 nucleotides. RefSeq annotates it as small nucleolar RNA SNORD50. The transcript has a single exon. Lineage: Eukaryota; Metazoa; Chordata; Actinopteri; Gonorynchiformes; Chanidae. The record is from RefSeq and is a predicted model, not a curated record.
GAACGAUGAUGAGCACUUAUCCCGAAGCUGAACCUGGUUUGAUGAAUACUCUUUAUGGAUCUGACUGCUGAGUU